Molecule: ribosomal RNA, 305 nt
Filed under: uncultured bacterium
Lineage: Bacteria
Description: bacterial SSU rRNA
Rfam family: Bacterial small subunit ribosomal RNA
Source: RNAcentral
CCUACGGGGCGCAGCAGUGGGGAAUAUUGGGCAAUGGGCGCAAGCCUGACCCAGCAACGCCGCGUGAAGGAAGGAGGCUUUCGGGUUGUAAACUUCUUUUCUGGGGGACGAACAAGUGACGGUACCCCAGGAAUAAGCCACGGCUAACUACGUGCCAGCAGCCGCGGUAAUACGUAGGUGGCAAGCGUUAUCCGGAUUUAUUGGGUGUAAAGGGCGUGUAGGCGGGAAUGCAAGUCAGAUGUGAAAACUCAGGGCUCAACCCUGAGCCUGCAUUUGAAACUGUGGUUCUUGAGUGCUGGAGAGGC